AGUUAUACGGAUUUAAGCAUGAUCAUACACCCAAGGUUCCUUUCUUCACGUUGCCUAUGACCUGUACUUUCCUUUCGGUAUUAGUCCCCAGAUAGUAAUUUUUAAAUAUUUUCUUUGCUAUAGAUCCGGAAACCCUAUACUAUAACUAAACAAAGGGAAAAAUGGACCGAGGAAGAGCAUCAGAAGUUUCUUGAAGCUUUAAGGCUGUAUGGCCGUGGCUGGCGGCAAAUAGAAGGUAUGUGCGCAGUGGGGAUUUUUGCAUAUACUCUUUUGCCAUAGUUAUGGUGUGAACAGAUUAAAUUACACUUGUUUUCAUGCAGAGCAUGUAGGCACGAAAACUGCUGUUCAAAUUCGAAGUCAUGCUCAAAAGUUUUUCUCUAAGGUUUAUUGCUUUAUGUUCAUUGCAAGAUUUUCUUGAUUGGGGAACCAUUGUAUGCCAUGUGUAGACAUUCUUAUAUAGGUUUCUUUGAUCAGUCUCUUAUACUUGCGUGUCUGUGGUUCUAGGUUGCCCGAGAGUCAAAUGGUGGCUUUGAGAGUUCCGCUAAAUCAAUUGAGAUACCCCCUCCUCGUCCAAAAAGGAAGCCAACGCAUCCAUAUCCCCGCAAAUCUGUUACGUCUCUUAAAGGAAUAUCUCCAUCAUCUCAACUAGAGAGGUCUCUAUCCCCCAACCACUCUGUCUCGGAACAGGAUAACAAAUCACCCUCAUCAGUUUUGUCCCCAUUUGUUUUCGAUGCAAUGGGGUCUUCUGCCUCUGAGCAACCGAAUAGAUGUUCUUCUCCAACUUCUUGUACUACUAAUAUACAGUCACUCAAUAAUACAUCCCCUGUUGAAAAGGAAAAUGACUAUGUGACAUCUAUGGAGAAAGAGACUGAAUCUUUAUCAUCUGUUAAAGUGUUUGGACAAUCAUCCGAGGAGGACAUUUUAUCUUUGGUAAAAUCUCUGCCCUUUUUCGUUUAUGGAACAAUUAUUACUGACCUUUGUCUUAGAAUUUGAACUCUGAUUUUCUUUCUUUCUUCAUGUAAUUACCCAGAAAUCCAACACAGACUUUGAGGAACCUGUGCGUGCCAAAGGAAACGAAGCAGCAGUAGUUGUGCCUUUCACCAGUAUUAAGCUUUUUGGAAAAACAGUUGAGGUGAAAGAUUCCAGCAAACCAUCCACGGGUGCAGAAAACUUUCAA
RNAcentral lists this long non-coding RNA (1177 nucleotides) under Gossypium raimondii (Peruvian cotton). RNAcentral's name for it is "long non-coding RNA (GRAI_LNC006821)". Lineage: Eukaryota; Viridiplantae; Streptophyta; Magnoliopsida; Malvales; Malvaceae. The record is from RNAcentral.